AAGAAGCAGCAAAAAUAAUUGAAGAUUAUGAAGAAGAGUACGUCUGCCCAGGUGAAUAUUACGGAUGCUGCGACAAGCAUAUCAUCGAGUUCGAGAUUGAUCAUUAAAAUAAGCAUCCAUUAUUAAUGUAUAAUUAUGUAAAAUAUGUGUGCUUUUAAUCAAAUAAAGCGAUGAUGUAAUCGCUAUGUAAGCAUGAUGCAAGCGAUGAUGUAAUCGCUAUGUAAGCAUGAUGCAAGCAAUGAGGUAAGCGCUUAUGUCAGCGCCUUAUCCUCAUCUAUAAAUAUGUGUGUACCCCCUUGUGAAAUAUCAUCAAAUAAUUUCAUAAAAAACCUCUCUCUAAAUUUCUCUCUCUAAUGUCUCUCUAAAGUUCUCUAGUUUUCUAGACCUUAUCUCAUCUUUGAUAAGCUCUGAUUCUUAUCUUCCAUACACAAGAUGCGAUCCAAUUCUUAGCUGUAAUUCUCCUUGAUCGGUUUCCGUUAAUACGACUCUGUCAACACGACUUUCGGAAGAGGUGAUUAUCCUAACAGUGGUUGAGCUUGAUCGAAAAGGCCGAGGUAGUGCCUGAAUCGCUCCCUAUACCUGGAAAAUCAUCGAACUCGUUUGAUCAAUACGACUUUGUCAACACGACGUGAUCGGUUAAAGACAGCUAUCCUGGAAAAGAAGAUUGAAGGUCGAAGGUCGAAGUUCGGUGAAAGGAAUAAAUGAGAAAAGCUACAUUUCUUUUUUUUUUGUUAAAGGAGAAAAGCUACAUUUCUCAAAACAAAUACAAAUUGAUCUGAAAAAGCUGAUUAGUAUAUUUUAGUUUAUUCUUUUAAAUCCUUCAGAUUAAGUAAAAAGUAUUAAACCAAUACAAAAAUUGAAAAAUAGCUUUAAUU
Molecule: long non-coding RNA, 875 nt
Organism: Raphanus sativus (radish)
Lineage: Eukaryota; Viridiplantae; Streptophyta; Magnoliopsida; Brassicales; Brassicaceae
Exons: 2
Source: RefSeq, a predicted model, not a curated record